RNAcentral lists this ribosomal RNA (333 nucleotides) under uncultured bacterium. RNAcentral's name for it is "bacterial SSU rRNA". It matches the Rfam family "Bacterial small subunit ribosomal RNA", at positions 568 to 898 of the family's 1533-position model. The record is from RNAcentral.
CGUGUAGGCGGUCGGGUAAGUCAGAUGUGAAAGCCUUCCGCUUAACGGAAGAAGUGCAUUUGAAACUGCUCGGCUGGAGUACGGGAGAGGAGAGUGGAAUUCCCGGUGUAGAGGUGAAAUUCGUAGAUAUCGGGAAGAACACCAGUGGCGAAGGCGGCUCUCUGGUCCGAUACCUGACGCUGAGACGCGAAAGCGUGGGGAGCAAACAGGAUUAGAUACCCUGGUAGUCCACGCCGUAAACGAUGGGCACUAGGUGUAGGGGGUAUUGACCCCUUCUGUGCCGAAGUUAACGCAUUAAGUGCCCCGCCUGGGGAGUACGGCCGCAAGGCUAAA